AUGAUCAGGAAGGUAAACAGAAGCAACAACAAUAAAAAAAUCCUGUCAUUAUCUACUUCCCCAACAAUUUAUCUUCAUGUUGGAUCCAUGACAGAGAGGAGAGACGAGCGGCGAGUUGUACAUGAGGCGUGCAUGCGACCCAGGACACACACAAACGGAUCGAGUGACGACACCUCUGCUGCUCAUACAGCAUGUGUCCAUUUCAGCAUCCAUCUUCUUCACGGCAUCAAAGACGAGAGCGAGAGAGGUGGCCGCUUGGCCAGCGAGCCAGCCACCGCACCCUUCACCGACCUGGCUUGA
This 300-nucleotide ribosomal RNA is filed under the name Triticum aestivum (bread wheat). RNAcentral describes it as "partial small subunit ribosomal RNA". Lineage: Eukaryota; Viridiplantae; Streptophyta; Magnoliopsida; Poales; Poaceae. The record is from RNAcentral.